This 225-nucleotide ribosomal RNA is filed under the name Triticum aestivum (bread wheat). Its description in RNAcentral is "partial small subunit ribosomal RNA". The record is from RNAcentral. Lineage: Eukaryota; Viridiplantae; Streptophyta; Magnoliopsida; Poales; Poaceae.
AUGGAUUGUAGCCUCUCCAUAGUGUUCUGGAACAUGCGCGGGCUCAAUAGCCGCGCCAAACGCAUGGCCGUGCACUCCGUUGUAUCCUCAGCCGACCCUGGUAUCGUGUGUUUAUCUGAAACUAAGCCGAGUUCCGUCUCGUCGCUAUUUGUCAUGGAUAUGUUGGGCACCCCCUUUCCCGACUUUUACUUUCUUUCAGCCGCGGGCACUUGUGGCGGAAUCCUG